GCCUCCGUAGCUCAGGGGAUAGAGCACCGCUCUCCUAAAGCGGGUGUCGCAGGUUCGAAUCCUGCCGGGGGCACCG
This 76-nucleotide transfer RNA is filed under the name Streptomyces noursei. RNAcentral describes it as "tRNA-Arg". It matches the Rfam family "tRNA". Rfam says of the family: Transfer RNA (tRNA) molecules are approximately 80 nucleotides in length. Their secondary structure includes four short double-helical elements and three loops (D, anti-codon, and T loops). Lineage: Bacteria; Bacillati; Actinomycetota; Actinomycetes; Kitasatosporales; Streptomycetaceae. The record is from RNAcentral. RNAcentral also lists the same sequence under 5 other names.